Molecule: ribosomal RNA, 468 nt
Filed under: uncultured bacterium
Lineage: Bacteria
Description: partial 16S ribosomal RNA
Rfam family: Bacterial small subunit ribosomal RNA
Source: RNAcentral
GACGAACGCUGGCGGCGUGCUUAACACAUGCAAGUCGAACGGAAAGGCCCUGCUUUUGUGGGGUGCUCGAGUGGCGAACGGGCGAGUAACACGUGAGUAACCUGCCCUUGACUUUGGGAUAACUUCAGGAAACUGGGGCUAAUACCGGAUAGGAGCUCCUGCUGCAUGGUGGGGGUUGGAAAGUUUCGGCGGUUGGGGAUGGACUAGCGGCUUAUCAGCUUGUUGGUGGGGUAGUGGCUUACCAAGGCUUUGACGGGUAGCCGGCCUGAGAGGGUGACCGGCCACAUUGGGACUGAGAUACGGCCCAGACUCCUACGGGAGGCAGCAGUGGGGAAUAUUGCACAAUGGGCGGAAGCCUGAUGCAGCAACGCCGCGUGCGGGAUGACGGCCUUCGGGUUGUAAACCGCUUUCGCCUGUGACGAAGCGUGAGUGACGGUAAUGGGUAAAGAAGCACCGGCUAACUACGUG